This 124-nucleotide ribosomal RNA is filed under the name Patescibacteria group bacterium. Its description in RNAcentral is "partial 16S ribosomal RNA". It matches the Rfam family "Bacterial small subunit ribosomal RNA", at positions 1397 to 1533 of the family's 1533-position model. The record is from RNAcentral.
UCACGUCAGCAAAGCUGGGGCCACCCGAAGUCUCAUUAUGUAUGGGCUCACGGUGGAAUCAGUGAUGAGGAUGAAGUCGAAACAAGGUAGCCGUAGGGGAAUCUGCGGCUGGAUCACCUCCUUU